RNAcentral lists this ribosomal RNA (311 nucleotides) under uncultured fungus. RNAcentral's name for it is "eukaryotic LSU rRNA". The stretch from base 1 to 52 matches the Rfam family "5.8S ribosomal RNA", at positions 103 to 154 of the family's 154-position model. Lineage: Eukaryota; Fungi. The record is from RNAcentral.
AACGCACCUUGCGCUCCCUGGUAUUCCGGGGAGCAUGCCUGUUUGAGUGUCGUGAAAUCAUCAUGGUCAUGAUCUUUAAUUAAUCAUGGCUUGGUUUUGGAGGUUAUGUUGGCUUUUUAUUAAGUUGACUCCUCUUAAAUACAUUAGCUCAGUGUUUAAUGCUUAGAGCGGUUCACGGUGUGAUAAUUAUCUACGCCGUGGCUGUGAGGCUUUAAAUUCAUAGGAUCAGCUUCGAACCGUCCCUAUCGAACGGGACAACAUCUUCAUUGACCUCUGACCUCAAAUCAGGUAGGAUUACCCGCUGAACUUAA